Molecule: long non-coding RNA, 458 nt
Filed under: Vulpes vulpes (red fox)
Lineage: Eukaryota; Metazoa; Chordata; Mammalia; Carnivora; Canidae
Description: lncRNA (ENSVVUG00000026486.1)
Source: RNAcentral
GUUCAGCUGACUCUUGGGUGGGGUGAGCUGGGGAAGAGGGGAAGACAAGGAGCAAUUGCAGGAUUGGGAGCAGCAAGUACUCAGGCAAGGAGGUGAGAAAGAGCCCUGCAUCCCCAGGAAACCACAAAUAUGACUAGAGGACAUUUGUUGACUACUGUAGACAGCAUGGAAAAGUUCAACAUCAUAGAAUCUAAAGACCUGUGUGGACCUGGCCAAGCUGACCAAGUCCAGAGAAAAUGUCCCUUGAAGUAGGUAUAUUUUGAUGGCCACACCAUUGAAACAUAAGUUACUCUGAUGACAGAAAGAAGAUACCACUCAUCUUUAUGAUUUCAUCUUGCCUAUGCUAUGGACUGAAUGGUUCAUUUGAUAAUAAGAUGAAGAAUAGAGCUUUGUCAACUAUAAAGCACCAUGAAAAAUUGAGAAUUAAUAUUUCUACCUUAUGCAUAUAUUCAAGAUGA